RNAcentral lists this ribosomal RNA (409 nucleotides) under bacterium. RNAcentral's name for it is "partial 16S ribosomal RNA". It matches the Rfam family "Bacterial small subunit ribosomal RNA", at positions 355 to 776 of the family's 1533-position model. The record is from RNAcentral.
UGGGGAAUAUUGCACAAUGGGCGCAAGCCUGAUGCAGCGACGCCGCGUGAGGGAUGACGGCCUUCGGGUUGUAAACCUCUUUCAGUACCGACGAAGCGUAAGUGACGGUAGGUACAGAAGAAGCACCGGCCAACUACGUGCCAGCAGCCGCGGUAAUAUGUAGGGCGCGAGCGUUGUCCGGAAUUAUUGGGCGUAAAGGGCUUGUAGGCGGCUUGUUGCGCCUGCUGUGAAAACGCGGGGCUUAACUUCGCGCGUGCAGUGGGUACGGGCAGGCUUGAGUGUGGUAGGGGUGACUGGAAUUCCAGGUGUAGCGGUGGAAUGCUCAGAUAUCUGGAGGAACACCGAUGGCGAAGGCAGGUCACUGGGCCAUUACUGACGCUGAGGAGCGAAAGCAUGGGUAGCGAACAGG